Misgurnus anguillicaudatus (oriental weatherfish) is the source of this 2697-nucleotide non-coding RNA. The record is from RefSeq and is a predicted model, not a curated record. Lineage: Eukaryota; Metazoa; Chordata; Actinopteri; Cypriniformes; Cobitidae.
UUAGGCAUUUCAUAACUUGAGGGAAAUUUAGGUAUACUGAUGUUUCAAAUCAAAUAUUAAUUUAUUAAUGACAGCUAAUCAUUUUAUAAAGAUUUUUUAUAACAAUAUUUAUUUAUAUAAUAUCAAUUUAAUACAUUUAUUUCGUUACACCUACAUCACUGAGCGCAAGGGAGUGCAGCCAACAAAUACAUUCAGGUGUGUUUGACUUAACACCGAGAUGCGCAGACAGCACGUGGUAUGACAUCAAGUACCGCGAGAGUUUGGGAAAGCCCCGGAAAAGGUUUGAACUCGCGGUACUUGAUGUCACGAUCGGUUUGCGCGUAGAUCAGCAUGAAGUCAAACACAUCUGAGAGAUGUGUGGGCUGCCUAGCACUCAACGUUGGGAUCAUUCAAUAGAGUGUAACCUCAAUCGGUUUUUGCAGCUUCUGGGUCCCGUGUAGAACGAUUUUUUUGUUCUUUUCCAACUCGAUUUUUAACUCCCUAAACUAGUAGGAUGUUCCAACGGGUGAAGCAACAGUGCUGACGGCAGUUUCAGUGUCAAGUUUUCAUGCCAUGACCACUGGGGCGGAAACCAUUAUGACAUUGCCUUGGACAUCAAACUAAACCAUCUCAUUCUGGCUUUUGAGGUGGAUUCUAACCUCGAAAUCUCAGAAGGACAGGUCUAAGAUGGACGCAGCCUCCAUAGGAUGCAACCUUGCAUUUGAGAAACACCCAUAGAACGGUCAACUUACCCCAUACUCUAACCUGAAUGCAGGGAUCAUAAAACUUUAUCUUUUACCUUAAUUGUUAGAUGGGUGUUGAUACCAAACUUUUUUUCUCGUCUACCCAGGAGAAAGUCAUGGUGUUCUGCUGCUAAGGUUGUCAUAAACGUCUUUUAUUCUGCUUACCUGACUCAUGCAGAAUUCUGGCUUGAUGUUUGGUCCACCUGUUAGCUGGCUCUGGUGCUUGGUAGUCUUCUCAAACCUCUGAAUCAAGACCACCAUGAGAGGCCUUCUGAAGACCAUCAUUACGCUUCAGAUCCAGCUGUCUUUACUUUGAGCCUACCACAAUCCCUGUGCACCAGCUAUGGAAAGUGCAGACCAAACUUCUACCUCCACCUAUAGAACUGAACUGGAGUCUAUGAACUAAUGCUGUGUUCGAGACAACUUGGAUGUUGGAUAUUAUUGACCUUAAACCCGUAAGAAGUCAGGAACAGGAAACAAAGUGGAGUAUCCGACCUCUCAACUUGGACCAGAUCGAUCAACACCGACCUCAACGAGAUGCGUCAUUUGACAUUGCAGACAAGAUCCUUUCUCUUUUUAAUGCAGCACUUAAGGAUGAACCACCCUGAUCUACUAAGAUGCACAGAUUCAACUCUGGCCCAGCAUCAUCCCCAUACCUCAUCUGCCAUCAGUUUAAUUUAAUGUCUGUCAAUUGCAAAUGCUAUUUAUUUCAGUUAUAUUACAACUUAAUAUUAAAGGAAUAGUCUACCCUUUUGCCAUAUUAAACUAUGUUAUUACCUCAACCUAGAUGAAUUAAUACAUACCUAUCUUUUUUCAAUGCGUGCACCGUACAGCGCGUUGUGAAUGUGUUAGCAUUUAGCCUAGCCCCAUUCAUUCCUAUGGUACCAAAAAGUUUUAUUUUGUGGCACCAUACUUACUGGUAUAACUCCUCAUGUAACAGUCUUAAAAUAGGGAAAACACAAAAGUGUUUGGUGGCUUCCCUGUUUGGUACCAUAGGAAUGAAUGGGGCUAGGCUAAAUGCUAACACAUUCACGACGCGCUGUACAGUGCACAAUAGAUAUGUAUUAAUUCGUCUAAGUUGAGGUAAUAACAUAGUUUAAUAUGGCAAAAGGGUAGACUAUUCCUUUAACUUUAAUUGAGACUAGUAUUGUGUAAAGCUGGGGUUUCCAAACUUCUCAUUUCAAAACCUAUUAGACAACUGUAAUCUAUUCUAGACCCACUAAAAUAUUUUUAAAUAUUCAUUUUUUAAUGGGGUAAAACACAUUUGUUCUCUUUCAGUGGAGUCAUUUUAUUUUCAUAAUAUUUCAUAAUGUAAAGUAAAUAUAAGUUUAUUUGCAAUACCAAAUAUUUUAUGGUAUAUUCUUUCAAAACCAUUGUCAUUGUUAAUUAUUAAUUUGGCCAAACUGUUGUUGCAUCAUUACGGUGUGCAACACACCUUAACCUACUGUGUGACGGACAAGUAGGUCCUCCUGACACACAAUUUAAAAUCCCCUGGUGUACUGAAUGUUGUAUUGUAAUUAAAGUUGCAUCUAAGUCUUGUGUAACAGUCUCCAUUAUUUGUGAUUAUAUUCAUAGUGUCACAUGGUACUUUCAGCACUUACUACAUCACAGUGUUUUUAAUGCUUUCAUUUUUAGGGUUAUUAUAAAUUCAUUCAUUUUUAAAGAAUUCCUUCUUUAUGUAGAACAUGCAAAGUCUAAAAUGUAAAGUGUCAUGAUCAGCUCUGGGUCUUGUGCAGUGAAUAAAUGAGCAGGUAGUAAAUGUCAUAGCUUUAAGUUCUGGAUGUAAUGAACAUUCAGCACAUAGGUUUCAUAAAUUGAAUUUGGUAAACAAACUUGUCGAAACAAUUCAUGCUGUGAUGCUGGAUAAUACCUGGUCAAAUGAAUACAUGUAUAAUGUGUUUUAACAUUGUAUAAGGUUUCUUCAUCUAUAUAGAUAUAUGUUAAAGAACGGUGCAGAGACUGCUGUCCAUUAUUG